CCCUUAGAUGUUCUGGGCCGCACGCGCGCUACACUGUUCGACGCAGCGAGUCUUAACCUUGACCGAAAGGUUUGGGUAAUCUUCAGCAAAGUCGAACGUGAUGGGGAUCGAUCAUUGCAAUUAUUGAUCGUGAACGCGGAAUUCCUAGUAAGUGCAAGUCAUCAGCUUGCGCUGAUUACGUCCCUGCCCUUUGUACACACCGCCCGUCGCUACUACCGAUUGAAUGGUUUAGUGAGAUCUCUGGAUUGACGCUGGCUAGGGGGCGACCCUUGGCCAGACUGUUGAGAAACUGCUCAAACUUGAUCAUUUAGAGGAAGUAAAAGUCGUAACA
RNAcentral lists this ribosomal RNA (331 nucleotides) under uncultured eukaryote. Its description in RNAcentral is "partial 18S ribosomal RNA". It matches the Rfam family "Eukaryotic small subunit ribosomal RNA", at positions 1470 to 1796 of the family's 1831-position model. The record is from RNAcentral.